GGGCCAUAGCUCAGUUGGGAGAGCGUCUGGUUUGCAACCAGAAGGUCGUCGGUUCGAUCCCGUCUGGCUCC
Molecule: transfer RNA, 71 nt
Filed under: marine eukaryotic metagenome
Rfam family: tRNA
About the family: Transfer RNA (tRNA) molecules are approximately 80 nucleotides in length. Their secondary structure includes four short double-helical elements and three loops (D, anti-codon, and T loops). Further hydrogen bonds mediate the characteristic L-shaped molecular structure. tRNAs have two regions of fundamental functional importance: the anti-codon, which is responsible for specific mRNA codon recognition, and the 3' end, to which the tRNAs corresponding amino acid is attached (by aminoacyl-tRNA synthetases). tRNAs cope with the degeneracy of the genetic code in two manners: having more than one tRNA (with a specific anti-codon) for a particular amino acid; and 'wobble' base-pairing, i.e. permitting non-standard base-pairing at the 3rd anti-codon position.
Source: RNAcentral